GGGGAAUUGUUCGCAAUGGGCGAAAGCCUGACGACGCAACGCCGCGUGGAGGAUGAAGAAUUUCGGUCCGUAAACUCCUGUCGAGCGGGACGAAAGAUGCGCGGGUUAAUACCCCGCGCAAGUGACGGUACCGCUAAAGGAAGCCCCGGCUAACUCCGUGCCAGCAGCCGCGGUAAUACGUAGGGACCAAGCGUUGUUCGGAUUUACUGGGCGUAAAGGGCGCGUAGGCGGCAAUUCAAGUCAUCUGUGAAAUCUCCGGGCUUAACUCGGAACGGUCAGAUGAUACUGCUUUGCUAGAGUACAGAAGGGGCAAUCGGAAUUCUUGGUGUAGCGGUGAAAUGCGUAGAUAUCAAGAGGAACACCUGAGGUGAAGACGGGCUGCUGGGCUGAUACUGACGCUGAGGCGCGAAAGCUAGGGUAGCAAA
This 425-nucleotide ribosomal RNA is filed under the name uncultured bacterium. Its description in RNAcentral is "bacterial SSU rRNA". It matches the Rfam family "Bacterial small subunit ribosomal RNA", at positions 356 to 772 of the family's 1533-position model. The record is from RNAcentral.